Molecule: long non-coding RNA, 272 nt
Filed under: Elaeis guineensis (African oil palm)
Lineage: Eukaryota; Viridiplantae; Streptophyta; Magnoliopsida; Arecales; Arecaceae
Description: long non-coding RNA (EGUI_LNC071547)
Source: RNAcentral
UCUGUCUGUACCAGGAGGCCUUUCGUGCCGGACUUCGGCUCCCACUACCGCUCUUGGUUGUUGCUCUCUUUCAUUUUCUGAAUAUUUCUCUAGUUUCCGUCGUGCCGAACUCCUUUAGGUUUUUGAUAGGGUUUCUUUCCCUUUGUAGUUUAGCCAAAGUUUGGCCGACUCUUUCUUUGUUUAGGAACUUCUACACCUUCAAGCGCCAUCCCUCGGCAAAGGAUUAGUGGUACUUCUCCCCCCAGUUCGGUAGAAAGGGGUUACUGAAAGGU